CUUAACACCUCCUUCCUUGCCCGGAGGCCAGAGCUCACGCCCAUCCCCUGUGCCUACACAGCAGGCAGCUCUCUGGCCUCUACUUCCUCUUCACAGCCAUCCCUAACUUGUUUGCUGCGCCCCAGACCAUUCAGUCUUGUCUUCACCCUUUAGAAUUUCUCUGGUUCCUGACGUACACAAGGGAUUGGUCAGAGGGAUGCACCAGAAGAAAUCCUACCACACAGAAGUUUUCUGUAAAAAAAAACGAGAUGGUGAAAUUUGAAUGCAGAAGUAACUGAUCUGUUCUGAACUUAUAAUGAUGAAAUAAUGGAACAGGAAAGAGGAUUCUGACUCCGGUGUUGAGGAAUGAGGCCCAGGAUCUGAAUUUUAGAGACCCAGAGGGCCUGUUCUCUCCUUUGGCUUUGGUGACUGUGGGGGCUGUGAGCCCUGCUCAGCCUUGGUGCUUCUCCCUGCCUGUCAGUAACGGUGGUCCAGGCCCUGCAUCCUCUGCCGUGGGUGUGCACCAACUCACAGAAGGCCUGACUCCUUCUGCUUCUGCUUUCCCCCGCUCAGAACUCCAGGCUUCAGUCUGCUCCUUCUCCCGUGUUGUCACUCCAUGGGGCUAGUGUCUCCAGCCAGCUCCAGGGCCUGAGGGAGAGCCCACGCUCCAGCUCCUGUCACACAGGGUCUCUGCAACCUCUGACCCUCCCCCAGAGAGCACCUUGACAGGUUGAAUACUGUAACCAAGACUUCUCU
RNAcentral lists this long non-coding RNA (735 nucleotides) under Equus caballus (horse). RNAcentral describes it as "lncRNA (ENSECAG00000055584.1)". Lineage: Eukaryota; Metazoa; Chordata; Mammalia; Perissodactyla; Equidae. The record is from RNAcentral.